GGCUUCGUAGCUCAGCUGGUAGAGCGUGCGCGUAGAAAGCGUAGGUGGCGUCCAUGCGUGGGUUCGAAUCCCACCGACGCCA
RNAcentral lists this transfer RNA (82 nucleotides) under Echinostoma caproni. It matches the Rfam family "tRNA". From Rfam's summary of the family: Transfer RNA (tRNA) molecules are approximately 80 nucleotides in length. The record is from Rfam by way of RNAcentral. Lineage: Eukaryota; Metazoa; Platyhelminthes; Trematoda; Plagiorchiida; Echinostomatidae.